GCCCUGAUGGUCUAGCGGUAUGAUUCUCCCUUAGGGUUGCGCAUAACAUCUCUGUUUGGGAGAGGUCCCAGGUUCGAUCCCUGGUUAGGGCC
RNAcentral lists this transfer RNA (92 nucleotides) under Colletotrichum falcatum. Its description in RNAcentral is "tRNA-Pro". Lineage: Eukaryota; Fungi; Ascomycota; Sordariomycetes; Glomerellales; Glomerellaceae. The record is from RNAcentral.